Molecule: ribosomal RNA, 435 nt
Filed under: uncultured bacterium
Lineage: Bacteria
Description: partial 16S ribosomal RNA
Rfam family: Bacterial small subunit ribosomal RNA
Source: RNAcentral
AGCGAACGCUGGCGGCAGGCUUAACACAUGCAAGUCGAGCGGGCACUUUCGGGUGUCAGCGGCGGACGGGUGAGUAACGCGUGGGAACGUGCCCUCUGGUUCGGAAUAACUCAGGGAAACUUGAGCUAAUACCGGAUACGCCCUUUUGGGGAAAGGCUUGCUGCCGGAGGAUCGGCCCGCGUCUGAUCAGCUAGUUGGUGAGGUAACGGCUCACCAAGGCGACGAUCAGUAGCUGGUCUGAGAGGAUGAUCAGCCACACUGGGACUGAGACACGGCCCAGACUCCUACGGGAAGCAGCAGUGGGGAAUAUUGGACAAUGGGCGCAAGCCUGAUCCAGCCAUGCCGCGUGAGUGAUCAAGGCCUUAGGGUUGUAAAGCUCUUUUAUCCGGGACGAUAAUGACGGUACCGGAGGAAUAAGCCCCGGCUAACUUCGUG